This 406-nucleotide ribosomal RNA is filed under the name Alloxysta brevis. Its description in RNAcentral is "partial 16S ribosomal RNA". Lineage: Eukaryota; Metazoa; Arthropoda; Insecta; Hymenoptera; Figitidae. The record is from RNAcentral.
GCAAUAUUUUAAUUGUACAAAGGUAGCAUAAUCAUUUGUCUUUUAAUUAAAGAAUAGAAUGAAAGAUUAAAUAAAAUAUUAACUAUAUAAAUUUAAUUAAAAUUUUAAUUUUAUUUUUAAGUAAAAAAUCUUAAAUAUUAUUAUUAGACGAUAAGACCCUAUAGAACUUUAUAUUAUAUAAAUUUAAAUAAAAUUUUAUUAUUUAAAUUAAUAAUUAUAUUAUAUUAUAUUGGGGGUAUAAAAAAAUUAAAAUAAUUUUUUUAUAUAAUUUUACAUUAAUUUAUGAAAUAAAUAAAAGAGUGUUUAAAUAAAAAUUAUUAAAAUAAGUUACCUUAGGGAUAACAGCAUAAUUUUUUUAAAAAGUUCUUAUUGAUAAAAAAGAUUAUGACCUCGAUGUUGAAUUAAG